GAUGAACGCUGGCGGCGUGCCUAAUACAUGCAAGUCGAGCGAACAGACGAGGAGCUUGCUCCUCUGACGUUAGCGGCGGACGGGUGAGUAACACGUGGAUAACCUACCUAUAAGACUGGGAUAACUUCGGGAAACCGGAGCUAAUACCGGAUAAUAUAUUGAACCGCAUGGUUCAAUAGUGAAAGACGGUUUUGCUGUCACUUAUAGAUGGAUCCGCGCCGCAUUAGCUAGUUGGUAAGGUAACGGCUUACCAAGGCGACGAUGCGUAGCCGACCUGAGAGGGUGAUCGGCCACCCUGGAACUGAGACACGGUCCAGACUCCUACGGGAGGCAGCAGUAGGGAAUCUUCCGCAAUGGGGGAACGCCUGCCGGAGAAACGCCGCGUGGGUGAUGAAGGUCUUCGGAUCUUAAAACUCUGUUAUUAGGGAAGAACAAAUGUGUAAGUAACUAUGCACGUCUUGACGGUACCUAAUCAGAAAGCCACGGCUAACUACGUG
This 497-nucleotide ribosomal RNA is filed under the name uncultured bacterium. RNAcentral's name for it is "partial 16S ribosomal RNA". It matches the Rfam family "Bacterial small subunit ribosomal RNA", at positions 28 to 507 of the family's 1533-position model. The record is from RNAcentral.